Molecule: long non-coding RNA, 1043 nt
Filed under: Parus major (Great Tit)
Lineage: Eukaryota; Metazoa; Chordata; Aves; Passeriformes; Paridae
Description: lncRNA (ENSPMJG00000012945.1)
Source: RNAcentral
AUGCAGCUAUAAAAACUCUGGUGCUGGCAAUUGCAAAGGACUGAUUUGAUUACCCAGGUAGGCUUUAAUUUCUCUGGUUUUGUUUUCCUAUACACUGAGAUAUCAAAAAAAACAAAAACAACCAACUUUUCUGGCAUUCUGGCAUAGGUUAUGCCUUGCUGUUAUUUAAAAAAAUAAUCUGAAAAAGUCAUAAACUUGUCCAAAUGCUUAACUUUCUCCUUUUUUUUUUUUUUUUCCCUUUCAUGUAUGGCUUAACAUAAUUGUAAGAAGCAUGGAAUAAGAAGUAGAGAAGUAGAAGGUUCUUUUUAAUUUACAGGAAAUUGAACUACAGGUUAGGAUUUUCCUUUAAUUUUUCUUUCCUUUUUCCUUUUAGGAAAGGUAAUUGUUGCAGUCUAAAUGUUAUUAUGGGCAAAAGAGAACACAGUUUUACACAAAAGAUGUUUCCUACUGUACUCAAUGAAAAGAAAGUUCUAAUUUUCUGGAGACAAUCAGCUCAGGACUGAGGGUGUUAAAGGCACAUGAGAUGAACAACCAUCUGAUGGUUUCUGCUUCUGUGUGGAAUCAACCAUCCAUAAAGAGAUUUUAUUCACCAUCUCUUGAGAGAACUGGAGAAUAAUCCUUAAACUAGCAUGAUUGUAGGAUCCUUCUCUUCUGUGGACCUAUCUGGCCAAGAUUGACACAAUGAGUGAAAGAACAUGGAAGAAGGCAGAGGAAGCUCAAAUUUUUGUGGACUUUUGGAGUUAUAUUUUUUUGUUAUCCAUUUGGGAAAAGUGGGGAAAUGCUCCUUCCUUAUCCUCCCUAAGAGUACAUACAGUAAGGAAUGGAGAACUAUCUGAAGAUAAGGAGAGAAGAUGAUUUACUGGAUGUUGCUUGGAAUAUGUUCCAACUAGGCUGGUGGAGAGCUGAAGCCUUUUUUGAUAUUUUAGGUGAACAGGGAGACUAUCUCAGAAAAUUUACAAAAAUCUAAAUUGGGACUAUCAUGUUUUGGAAAACUUGAAAAUAUAACUCUUUGCACUGCAAUAAAAUAUCAAUAUUUUUUUACA